AACCGUGUGAAAUUCCAACAGACUUCAGGUCCAAGUAGACUCAAAGAGGAUGGGCAUCUUACUAAGGUGCAGUCCCGUUGAAAAGAGGAGGUUUCCUUGCACGUAGAAAUUGGGAGGCUCUUGGCCAGGAGGAAUCGGGGCCCCGGAGAGGGAGCCCUGGUAAGUUCCUCAGGUGGAGGUGCUUUGGGUCAUUUCCUAGCACUGGAGGGCAAACGGAGAAGUGCUGGCGGGCCUGGAUCAGAGCCGAGCCAGCUGAGAGGUGUUGAGCCUGUCGGCCGACAUAAAGGCUGAGGAGAGACUCAGGAUGUCAGACGGACCAUCAGGGUGUUUAGGGACAUUUUGGAGAAGGAGGUGUGGUUUUGAGUUUUUUGUUUUUUCUUUCCGAAGGCUGGAAUGCACACAACUGUGCUGUAUGCUCUACUGUUCCCCCAGCUGCUGGCUGCUGGCUGGACCACAAGGGUGGGUGACGGAUGCUACCACUGGCCACCCAGAGAGGACCCCUCCCUUUCCUGGCACCGGUGCCUGAAGGAGCCCAACAGGGAGGAUGCCCAGGGCUGCAGGGAGCCUUGUCACCCUCCCAAUGGCGGUUCAAGGGAGGGGUCUCCUCUCCAGCAUCAACGGUGCCCCCGGGUUGCCCUCCUCCAAGCCAGCUUCGCCACCCUGCUGCGAACCACCCUGCCAGCCAAUGACAAGCCAGUUCCUGACUGGGCAGCCUUCUGCUCGUUCAUCGCCAUCCUGGUGAGCAUCACCCUCGGCCUUGUUGCCUGGCACUGCAAGGAGAGGUACUGGGGCCGACGGAGAGCCUGCUGCUGCACCCACGUCUUUCUGAGCGAGAGCCCCGACUCGACGCCCCAAAUGGAAGACCUCUCUUCUUCUCUCCUGAUUCCACUUCCUCUCAUCAUGACCCCCUACAUCGGAAAUCUGACGCACCGCGGCGUUAGCGCUGAUGAUCUUGAGGAGAACCUGGAGGGACCCCCAGUCAUCCACCUUCUUUCUGUAGGUGCUGAAAACCCAGAGGACAAAGCCAUCGGGGGGUCUGUGGGAUCCAGAACAAUUCCUGGCCAUGCUUUGAAGCUCAGGUCUCUCCCAGACCACAUUCUGGAGCCCAGACCUCCACUGGAGAAUGCUCUGGAACCUAGACCUUCCCCGGGCCAUGCUCUGGAACCGAGACCUUCCCCAGACCAUGCUCUAGAACCCAGACCUUCUCCAGGCCAUGCUCUGGAACCCAGACCUUCCCCCGGCCAUGCUCUGGAACCCAGACCUUCCCCGGGCCAUGCUCUGGAACCCAGAGCUUCCCCAGACCAUGCUCUAGAACCCAGAGCUUCCCCAGACCAUGCUCUGGAACCCAGACCUUCCCCAGACCAUGCUCUGGAACCAAGACCUUCCCCAGAUCGUGCUCUGGAACCCAGACCUUCCCCAGAUCAUGCUCCAGGGCUCAUUUUGAAAACAGAACCCAUCAGCACACCAGCUACACCUGGAGAAGAAAAACUACUGAUGUGACCCCUUAUAUGGCUGAGACUGGAUUUCCCAUGCAAUUCCCCAGUCCAUGCUCUGGAACCCAGACCUUCCCCAGAUCAUGCUCCAGGGCUCAUUUUGAAAACAGAACCCAUCAGCACACCAGCUACACCUGGAGAAGAAAAACUCUACUCAUGUGACCGCUUAUACCUCUGAAAGUGGAUUUCCCAUGCACGAUCUUCAUGGCUUGCUUUUAUGAUCCAGCAAAUGAACCAACCCUAUUUAAUUUUUUUAAAACACACCCCCACACUCCCACACCCCCACACACACCUCUUUCCCCAACACCCCUAUUAACAUAAAUGAAGAAACAGCCUCCAUGGUGGGCUUGUUCUAAAUAUUUCCACUAGCUUCUACGGCACCUUGAUCGUUCUCUUCCCGGAGAGAUGCUCUGGGACCUUUUAUUUGUGGUUCAUUUGUCGUUUGUGGGCCUCUUCCGGUUAGGCCUUGAGCUCUGUUUGGCAAAAACCCGGGGCUGCUUCGCUCCCAUGCAGGGAAUUUGCGACGUGCUCUUUUCAAAACGAAAACGGAAUGACUCUUUUUGGGUUCUCGUUAACCUCAAAGAGGCGAAACAGGAAAGCAACUAGAUCUGCAAAACAAGAAAGCAACGAGACCUGUCUGCGGGAAUGACUGCUUCUGGGAGGCAAGGAGCUGUUUUUAGUGCAGACCCUUGUUUUUAAAUGUGUAUGUCUUGUUAUUAAUUAAAAAAAUCCCCAACUUCUGGCUGUUCUCUGGCCUCUUCUUCAGAUUGCCUACUGUAGUAGGUAGGAGGCAAGCUAGGGUCUAGAUUUAUCCCCGUUUCCUGUAUCCCACCUACUCUUUUACGGAUACGUCUGUUAGUUGCAUUUAGGCACGAUCUGUCUUCCAGUGACUUUGCUUUGGAAUUCAUGCCUGUCUUCCCCCCUGUCACACAACAACCGUUAGUUAUUAGGUAGUGCUGGCUUAGAGCCCUUGACUAGCCAAAUCUGCUAGUGUUCAAGGGAGACACACCUCAGAAGAUUAUGGGCUGUCGUUCUAACUGGUACACCAGAGAUGCAAGCCCCAUUAGGGUUGCUAUAAGUCGGUUCCAGCUUGACAGCACACAACAACACCAUGCAGUGGAUCUUAGAUUAGUAAGAUACAAGAGAACAGAAUGAAUUAUUUUUGUGGGCUCAUACUUUUGCCUAUUCUUCUUCUGUUUGCCCACACCAAGGGGUUUGUAUAAUGUCUGUGUUUCUAGAUUCAGAGCCUUUUUUUGUUUCCAAUACAGGUUUUCUAUUAAUCACAAACAAGGAAAGGAAAAGUAGCCAUCUAAAGCCCUAUACGAAUAAAAUCCUUGUGAGUAUCCA
Molecule: long non-coding RNA, 2840 nt
Organism: Pogona vitticeps (central bearded dragon)
Lineage: Eukaryota; Metazoa; Chordata; Lepidosauria; Squamata; Agamidae
Source: Ensembl